RNAcentral lists this non-coding RNA (28 nucleotides) under Homo sapiens (human). Lineage: Eukaryota; Metazoa; Chordata; Mammalia; Primates; Hominidae. The record is from RNAcentral.
UGGAAAAGAAAGGUGUAGGAGGGGCAAG